Molecule: transfer RNA, 73 nt
Filed under: Canis lupus familiaris (dog)
Lineage: Eukaryota; Metazoa; Chordata; Mammalia; Carnivora; Canidae
Also listed under: 1 other name
Rfam family: tRNA
About the family: Transfer RNA (tRNA) molecules are approximately 80 nucleotides in length. Their secondary structure includes four short double-helical elements and three loops (D, anti-codon, and T loops).
Source: Rfam by way of RNAcentral
ACCCAGCUGGCUCAGUUGGUAGAGCAUACAACUCUUAAUCUUGGGGUUGUGAGUUCGAGCCCCAUGAUGGGUG